RNAcentral lists this ribosomal RNA (442 nucleotides) under Potamonautes sp. SaniPH2. RNAcentral describes it as "partial 28S ribosomal RNA". The record is from RNAcentral. Lineage: Eukaryota; Metazoa; Arthropoda; Malacostraca; Decapoda; Potamonautidae.
CUCACGGGGGUGGUGGUGGGCUCCGGUCGGCGCCCUCCGGGGCCGAUCCCCGACAGGCCGCAGCUGCCGCCGGCGUCUUUCCCACACCAAAGCGGAGCCGCAACGGGAGCGGCGCGGAGUGAGACCCUUUCCUCCGCGUCCGACUCCCGGCUCCGUGGGUACCCGGCCAGCGCGACGGUCCGGCGUCGUCUCUCCUCUCCGGGGGAGGGGUGUGCCGCCUGUUCGCAGGGGGGCGCAGGCCCGGGACUUGCCAUACGACGCCGUCGCGCAAAUCUGUUGUUGGCCUCACCGGCUCUGCUUGGGCUCUCGGUUGGCGGUCCGCGCGUCAGGCUGCUGCUGGGGACUUUAGGGCGGGUUCGUCCCGUCCGGGUCCUCGUCUCAGCCCCGCGCGGUUGUCUGCCCUCCGAUCCUGCUCUGUCNGGAGUGGCAUAGCGCGCGUGCU